This 253-nucleotide ribosomal RNA is filed under the name uncultured bacterium. RNAcentral describes it as "partial 16S ribosomal RNA". It matches the Rfam family "Bacterial small subunit ribosomal RNA", at positions 524 to 776 of the family's 1533-position model. The record is from RNAcentral.
UACAGAGGUGGCAAGCGUUGUUCGGAAUUACUGGGCGUAAAGCGCGUGUAGGCGGCUCUUCAAGUCAGGCGUGAAAGCCCCGGGCUCAACUCGGGAACUGCGCUUGAUACUGUCGAGCUAGAGUGUGGAAGGGGCGAUUGGAAUUCCGUGUGUAGCGGUGAAAUGCGUAGAUAUCAGGAGGAAUACCGAUGGCGAAGGCAGGUCUCUGGGCCGAUACUGACGCUGAGGCACGAAAGCCAAGGGAGCAAACAGG